Molecule: ribosomal RNA, 288 nt
Filed under: uncultured Enterobacterales bacterium
Lineage: Bacteria; Pseudomonadati; Pseudomonadota; Gammaproteobacteria; Enterobacterales
Description: partial 16S ribosomal RNA
Rfam family: Bacterial small subunit ribosomal RNA
Source: RNAcentral
GUGCCAGCCGCCGCGGUAAUACGGAGGGUGCAAGCGUUAAUCGGAAUUACUGGGCGUAAAGCGCACGCAGGCGGUUUGUUAAGUCAGAUGUGAAAUCCCCGGGCUCAACCUGGGAACUGCAUCCGAUACUGGCAGGCUUGAGUCUCGUAGAGGGGGGUAGAAUUCCAGGUGUAGCGGUGAAAUGCGUAGAGAUCUGGAGGAAUACCGGUGGCGAAGGCGGCCCCCUGGACGAAGACUGACGCUCAGGUGCGAAAGCGUGGGGAGCAAACAGGAUUAGAUACCCUGUAU